RNAcentral lists this ribosomal RNA (207 nucleotides) under uncultured Bacillota bacterium. RNAcentral's name for it is "uncultured Firmicutes bacterium partial 16S ribosomal RNA". It matches the Rfam family "Bacterial small subunit ribosomal RNA", at positions 568 to 774 of the family's 1533-position model. Lineage: Bacteria; Bacillati; Bacillota. The record is from RNAcentral.
UGCGUAGGCGGGUUUGCAAGUCAGACGUGAAAUACCGAGGCUUAACUUCGGGGCUGCGUUUGAAACUGUAGAUCUUGAGUGAAGUAGAGGCAAGCGGAAUUCCUAGUGUAGCGGUGAAAUGCGUAGAUAUUAGGAGGAACACCAGUGGCGAAGGCGGCUUGCUGGGCUUUAACUGACGCUGAGGCACGAAAGCAUGGGGAGCAAACA